Molecule: long non-coding RNA, 3819 nt
Organism: Mastomys coucha (southern multimammate mouse)
Lineage: Eukaryota; Metazoa; Chordata; Mammalia; Rodentia; Muridae
Exons: 6
Source: RefSeq, a predicted model, not a curated record
AGCAGAGGCUGGCUAGGGGUCAGCCAUACUGAGGAGAUAACACCGUCAUGCAGCCACACAGAAGAUGGAAGCUGCUAGAGUCAAGGGAAGCCAACCAUGAUUAGUGAAUCCAAGUCCUAAGGGGGUAUGGACAGAGCGGCUCCAUCCGCUCAGGGUCCAGGAGGCAGAAUUGGCAGAGAAAAAUCAGGGUGAGAUGAAAAAUGGCCAGUGGGAGAAAAUCAGAGGCAGGUGGUCUCUCUUAGGACACAGACAGGAAGCAGAAAGCCCUUGGGGGGAUUAGAUGGGCGAGUGGGUGGGUAUGAUAAAGUGACACAGAGGAAGGCUUAGAGAGGUGGGCAGUGACAGUGAUUCCAUCAAACUCAAGGCUCUCCAAAUAAUCUCUGCAAAGAACAGCCAGCAUACUGCAAGCCCACUGGGGUUGUCAGGACUGAAUUUCUUCUCUUGGGCUCUAGGGGGUUGUGCUAUGGCUAGCCAAAGUCCAGGAGCAACCCCAGAGCUAGAAUUUGAGCACUUUCAGGAACCCUCAGAAAUGACUCGAGAAGCCAAGCCUGGGUAUCAGUUAAAUGGUCUGAGGCUGUGGUAGGAUCAGAGGCUCCAACACUCCUCCUUUGGUUAAAUCUGGAAAGAAAAUGGGCUUGGUCUUCCAUGGCUUUAGAGACUAAGAGAAGUUUGGAGGUUUAGAGGACCUGCCUCUGCAGCUGGCCAUCAAGUCAUCCUCUAUUCAGAGGAUGCUCCCUAGGUCAUGGUCACCCCCAAGCUGGGAGUUGCUGCUGAUGUCAGGAGGCUCCAGUAGGACAGAAGUCAUUUGCCCAGCUCUUGUUCUAGAGAUGCAAAACCACAGAAGAGCCUGAGGUCUCCCUCUGUGGAGUGACUUCUGGAGAGAUUCAUAGAAAUGAUCACUCAGCCAGAAGAGGACCUAACACCACCCCCAAAACCAAUUGUAUCUAAGUCCAGGGUCACCUACACCACUUGAGGAAAAGCCUCCUCUUGCCCAGAAAUUGUCUACUGCUUGAGGAGGGACCUCAGGAGUCCCAUGACUUUCUUGAGAAUUUCAGGAGCCUCCCCCUCCUCCCACAAGGGAAUGCUUCCAUCUGGAAGUAGCAGCUGUGCAGCGCCCUCCCUCCGUGUGGCCACCAUGGGUACUUUGCAUCUAAAGCUCUGGAGGUCCAAAAACCUGUCCCCAAGUUAACUGUGAUCUGCAGUGCUGCAGCUCAGCCUAGGAAAGGCCUGGAAGUUCAGCAGAUUGGCCGCCAUGAUUGACAGGAGAAGUUGGACCUUCUGUUCCAUCUGGCACAGCCCCGAAUGAGCCCGGGCUCUUGGCCCUUGACUAAAUGUUACCAUGAGUCGUGACUUGACUGCUUCUUGUCUUGUCGCCCAGAGUAGACUACGGUGUCUUGAGUUUAGCCUCCUAUUUUGGGUCAAAAAUAAAUAAUUCAACCAAUGAUUAGAGGAGGAGGAAGAGAGAAGCAAGCUCAUUUACUGGACACCUGCUUUGAAAAGAGGCACUUAGCAGCGGCUGUGAAUCCAACCCUGGUUCAUAAAUUGAUGCCCUAACGCCUGAAGUAAGUAUUCCAGCUUUGCUUCUGUUGCUGGUGUGUCUUGUGCGCUUCAUGGGGUCCGGUCUGCACUUCAGAUUCUCAUCGUUCACCCUGCCAUGGGUUUGGAACCAAUAACCCAAGAGCAAACCCUUCAACACGUUGGCAUGACAAGUCAGAACCUUGGAACAGCACAAGCCAGAACUUCUGCCUCUAGAAGAUAAGAUCAGCCAUUCCGUGUUCUAUGCCCCCAGCAAACCAUUGAGGAAACUGUGGCUGGAGAAGGAUGAACAAGCAGUGAAGUAGCUCCCUCAGGAUCACACAGCUACACAGCAGAUGGGGGAUUCGAACACACAACCCAAGCAGUGAAGUAGCUACCUCAGGAUCACAGAGCUACAUACCGGAUGGGGGACUCGAACACAAAACCCAAGCCUCUUUUCAUUGGAACCAAAAGAAAUAGGGGCUUGGAGAGAGGAGUACAUGGCUCGGAGAGGAGUUAACAAAAGCCAAGGAGCAGUUUUGCUUUCUCUUAAGAGGAGGAAUCUCAAGUUCAUGCUGUGCCUACCGGAGUCUGAUACAUCACUGCAUCUAUUCACCUAGGAGUGGACACCGGAAUGACAUUGUUAGGGAGCUCAAAGUCAGAAACAAAGCUGUCUUUAAGGCAAACUGCACAGGCCCUGCCCUGUCUCAGGCUAGACCUUAGGUCUAGAGCUAGACCAUGGCAUCACAGGCUUAUAUAAUGUGGACACCAUUUCUCAGCAUUUCUAUUUCAGCUGAAACAGUAAUUUCAGCUUCAUAUCAGCUCUCGGGAAUGAUACCACCAGGCGAUUCAGGAUUCAGUAACUCCAAGUCCGUACACUUCAGUCCGACAUAAAGCGUAGCUUGUCUGUAUUGCCAUCAGAGGACAGAAAAGGAACGGGAGGCGUCAAGGGCAUGAGAUACCAAAUGAUGUAACUUAGAAGUUUUUACCAGAAACGGUGGCACUUGCAACCUUGGCUCUUCAGCCACGUAAGGGAUUCGUGUAUAUGUCAACAUUCACAUUCAUGUGUGCACAUGUGUGCCCCUGUGUGUGUGCAUACAGAGGAUAAAGAAUGUCAAGCAUCCUGUGCUGUUAUUCUCUGUCUUAGGGCCUCUCACUGAACCUGGAGCUAGGCUGGCAAUUGGCAAGCCCCAGGGAUCCCACUGUCUCCAGCUGCUAGAGCUAGGGCUAUGAGCAUACAGAUAGCCCUGCCUGCCUUUUUACAUCAGUUCUGAGGAUUUGAAAUCAGGUCUUCAUUCUUGUGCUAAAGUUUCUCUUCCAUCAUCCAGUAUUUGAACCACCCUCAGUCAAAUUUCAAAGCCUAUGCACUUAAUCCUACACUUGGAAAAUAACCAUUAGGAAACAACAGAGGCUAAACUUCAUCAUUAAGGUAUUUAUUGAAAAGCCACCCACAGCAGCAGAAAGAACUGAGAGACCUAAAUAAGAACUUAAGUAAUGGUACCAUCAAUACUGCUGAUCCUUCCCUUGUUCACAAGGCCCUGAGGCAGGCACUGCAGUAAGAACUUUAUGCGGAAUGAUCAAGUCAUUUUGAUGAUAGUCACCCCUCAGUUUAUCAGUGGGAUCCACAUCCAUGAAUCCAAUCAACCACUAUCAAGAACGUUCCAGAAAUUUUUCAUCUGUAAAAGCACAUAACAUGAGGAAGAAUAGUCCCAUGUUAUUUAAGCCACACUGACUUAUGGGUCUGCAACCAAGGUGUAACAGCUUCGCCAGACUGAUUCAUUAGCAACACGUUGGACUUUCUUAUUUCUCAUCACGACUGUCUGUGUAGCAUUUCCAUUGUAUGGAGUAUUACGAGGGACCUGAAGGUCACGGGAAAGUCAAAAGCUAUAUACACCUAAGUUCUAUGCAAGCACUGCACCAUUUUGCAUAAGAAAUUUGAACUUCUGUGGGCUUCACUCAGAGGUCCUCAUACCAACCCUUCCUGGAAUCUGAACCACAACUGUGUUUAUUGUGCAAACGAUAGUAACAGAGACUCCCACAAAUUUAUCUUAUGAGUAUUAUCAAGUAAUAUCCAAGCCUGCCUCUCUGGGACGGCAGGCUAAAUUGUACCGGAUUUCCUUCAUCAGUGGCUAUGGCUUUAUAAUGCUGUCAAGUAGUUUAUAAAGUCACCUUGACACUUCCAGACCCUCAGAGACUGCAACAACUGGGGUCACACCUGCUAUAACCCCUUGCCUACCAACAGUCACCCCAUAAUACACAUAUGACACAAGGAAGAAAUAAACCUGUGAUUUUGAAGCCACUGAA